RNAcentral lists this ribosomal RNA (270 nucleotides) under uncultured Eubacteriales bacterium. RNAcentral describes it as "uncultured Clostridiales bacterium partial 16S ribosomal RNA". It matches the Rfam family "Bacterial small subunit ribosomal RNA", at positions 68 to 339 of the family's 1533-position model. RNAcentral also lists the same sequence under 1 other name. Lineage: Bacteria; Bacillati; Bacillota; Clostridia; Eubacteriales. The record is from RNAcentral.
UAGAUUGAUUCAUUUGAGGUGACUGAGUGGCGGACGGGUGAGUAACGCGUGGGUAACCUGCCUCAUAGAGGGGGACAACAGUUGGAAACGACUGCUAAUACCGCAUAGUAAGAAAGAUUCGCAUGUUUCUUUCUUGAAAGAUUUAUCGCUAUGAGAUGGACCCGCGUCUGAUUAGCUAGUUGGUAAGGUAACGGCUUACCAAGGCGACGAUCAGUAGCCGGCUUGAGAGAGUGAACGGCCACAUUGGGACUGAGACACGGCCCAAACUCC